AUUUGCCUAAGUGAGGCAGGUUGGCAAACACCCAGGCUCUGCUCUGACUGUAACUGGCUACCACCUACUGAGCAUGUCUCCAUCCUCUUGGCUAUGGCUGGGCAGACAUUGUCUCUCCUGUGUGUGCGGGCUAAUUCCCUCAACGCAAGAUACUAAGUCAUGGCUGGCUCAUCACACUGGCUCGCUAUGAAGUGGAGUCUACUAGAGUCCCCAGAGUAUGAGAAGGUCCCCUCGAGACCCUCGAAUAAUUGAACCUGCUGGACAGGUCAAGUGGCGCCCAACGUGGGGCACGGGGUACUACCGCCCUCUGGACAACGGAUUAAAGAGGUACCACACAGACAGUGAGAUAGUGGGACAGUCCCCCGCCACUUCGCUCGAGUGUCGCAGAUGGACGUCGGAGAGCUCAAGUGACCUUCUCAGUCAAACCGUUCACAUUGCGAGCUGCUGGCGGCUGCAACAUUUUGGCGCUUGAACAGGGACCUGAAGAAUGGCAGAGGGAGGCUAAGAGAAAUGCUGCUGCUGUGGAGCUCCACAGGAAAGGAUCUUCGUAUCGGGCAUCGGAGCAACGGACAGGAUUGCCAUGGACAGAUCUCUCACAAUAUUGAUGAUGCUGGUCAUGACGGCGACAGCCAGGCAAGCCCAGACCUAUCAGGUUUUUAACUAUAACUAGAUUAUUCAAAAUCAGGCUGGAGACAUAGUUAACUCCAGCUCCAAGAUUGGUGACGAGCCCCAUUGGCCCAAGUUAGAAGUAGACAUCUGUGUCCUCACAUUGGGUGCAGAUGCCGCCUGGGGCACCCCUGAUUAUUAUAUGCCUCAAUUAACAGCAGUUAACACAGGUGAUAAAAAGACUGAUUCAGG
Molecule: long non-coding RNA, 858 nt
Organism: Mus musculus (house mouse)
Lineage: Eukaryota; Metazoa; Chordata; Mammalia; Rodentia; Muridae
Product: cDNA sequence BC048559
Exons: 4
Source: RefSeq, marked validated